Sus scrofa (pig) is the source of this 2857-nucleotide non-coding RNA. The record is from RefSeq and is a predicted model, not a curated record. Lineage: Eukaryota; Metazoa; Chordata; Mammalia; Artiodactyla; Suidae.
UCUGGAAUAUAAAAAAAAGUCUAUGAUAACUACUGUACUAUACACAAUAUAAACAGCAUGGUCCCCAUGCUGCACAGCAGAAAAAAAAAAAAAAACGAAUUGAAUUAGAAUAAUUAUUGAAAAACAAACAAACAAACAAAAAAACCCACGGUCAUGAACCUUACCUGAAGUCCUCUAUUCCCCGAAAAAGGUAUUUUUUCUUCAUUUUUCCCCAGGGCAGGAAGAGUCUCCAUAACAGUUCUCACGAUGUGAUGUGGAGGACCCCAAGACAGCAGCCCAAGGAGGACAGGCACUCUCGCAAGACAGCCAAAUCCGGGUCUUCAGCUCCUCCGUGGUGCUGCAGGGGCUCCUAGGAGUCCGCCAUCUUGUGGACCAUUAACGGCCAGGCAGCUGCUCUCUCCCAGAGUUGAAGGUGUCCCUGGGAGCUGAGCGAUGUUGGGCAGGAGAAUCCGGUAUGGGAAGCUCAAAGAAGAUGGUCUCUAUACAAUUUUCAGUUGACCAUGGUGGCUUGCAGGCAACUGAACAUCUUACAUGAGAGCUAAAGAAUCUCAGAAUGAAUGCUCCAAGGGAGAGAGCCUGGCAGAAUUUGUAUAGACUUUUCUGACCUGGCCUUACAGUUGGACAAGGCCCUCGUGGUCACCAACCUGCUCUGACACUCACCUGCCCUCCUUCCUCUGAUUCAGCAACCUGACGACUGAUCUACUGAUACAGAAGGGACACAGCUUUGACAGCAAGGGGUCAGAAAUGUGAGUAUAAUGCAGUUGGAGGCCCUGUGGUCUCUGACCUGCUCUGACAGUCGCCCAUCUUCUCCACCUCUCCUGCCCCAUCCCUGGGUGCAUUUCCACCAGAGGCACAGCUCCAGCAGUGAGAGGUCACAAAGCACCAGACACGGUGAGCCUCGAGACCCCACUGCCCCUGGAAGGAGCAGAAAUAGUGGCCACGUUUGAGCAGAUGCACUGGAGGGUCUAUGAGGGGAUCCCCCCACAUGUAAGAGGAGAGACAUGGUCUCUGCUGUUGGAGAAGGUGAAGGCAGACAAUCAAGGGAAAUACCAGAUGGUCCCAGUGGGUCUGGAAUUGGCUGAGUUCAUUCAGAUACUGCUGGUUCAGCCUCUCUGAGGAAGGUGCAGUGCGAAAUUCUCUAAGGUCUGAGGUCCCGUGGUGGAGCAGCAGCAAUGUGUCCAAUCCAUAGGUGGGUUCAAUCCCUGGCCUCGCUCUGUGGGGUGAGGUUCAGGUGUUGCUGUGAUGUAGGUCUCUCUGAAGUGGCUCAGAUCCAAUACUGCUGUUGCUGCUACAUGGAUCAUCCACUGAAGCUCCGACUGACCCCUACAUAGACUGGGAACGCCCAUAUGCCACAGGUGCGGCCCUAGAAAGAUACAUACAUAAACAAAAGAAACUGGGUGAGGUUGAUGUCCUCAAAAAUUGUUUAUUCACACACUAGAUGUAUAGACUGUAAAGCCUUGAAUGGGGAGACAGAAAGAGCUGUUGCUUCUUAAUAUUCUAAGGGUGGGGCAAUAACAGAUGAGACCAGGGCUUACAUGUAGGCUUAGAGGAAAGGCCAUGUGAGGACAGAGCCUUAAGGCAGCCAUCCAGAGUCAGGGAAGAGAGGACACCCUCGAAGCCAUCCCUGUUGUUGUCACCUUGAUCUUGGAGGUCCAGCCUCCAGAACUGUGAGAGAAGAAAUGACUGUUGCUUACGUUCCCCAGGCCAUAGUAUUUUGUCAUGGAAACCCUAGCCAAGAAUCUGAAAGUGCCACUGACAAGGAUGAUGGGGAUGAGCACAUAGAAACUGAGGUGGUGCAAAGAGAAGGAGGAAUGAAGCAUCAUCAGGUUUGAUUCAGAACAAUCAUGCCUCUUCCUUACAAUCAUCCGAGGAGGAGCAUUUCCAUAUCCCGGGAUUUUGGAAUAAGUAACAUCAUUUUUGAAUACGAAAUCUGGAGUCUCAUCCAAAGUAAGUGGUGUCCAUCUUCCACCUAACCUUCCUCUGAGGAAUCUGAGAGCAUUUACCAGAGGAAUUCUGCUCUGCACAAAUGGACAUACUCAACCUCAUUGAGGAGAUCCAAGCUAACCCUCACUCACGGGUGGCAGAACAGUGGCAUCCUCCAUGGGUUGAUGACCUGAAACAGAAAGAAUGGUAGAUCGUUUUGGCACAAACAUGAUGAGUGUAUUGGGGAUCAGCAGGAAUUUCAACUGGAGGCCUGAAACCAUGACCAACCAUAAGCCAUCUCCAUCAAGGCAAGAAAAGGAGACUGCUUGCACAGAGGAUAAGAGACAGUUUGGAGAGGUCAGUCAAUCAAUACAGAGCCCAUGGCUCAUGGCUCUUCAUUGGUGGAACAACUUGCAAGGAAAGAAGGCUGUCUUAUUCUUGUUGGGCUCUGCCAUGCACAGGGCAGAGAAGUGCUUCCUGCGGGUCUCCCAAUUCCAUUCAGUAGAGUUUAGGUUAAUUACUUCUCAUGAGGGGAGAGAUAUGGAUUCAGCCCUCUCAGAAGGGACCUGGUCCUCCUAUCUAGCAGACCAUGUGUUUUCUUCAGGGGGCAUCAGUUUCCAUCUUGGGUCCCAAAGGCGGGAGUGAACUUACUGUUGGAAAGCACGGUGGAGAAGCAUUUGGAACAAGCAACACUGUAUGAAGUGCAACUCCAACCUACCACAAGAUACCACCUCGCACCAGUCAGAAUGGCCAUUAUUCAGAAGUCCACAAAUAGCAAGUGUUGGAGAGGGUGUGGCGAAGAGAGAACCCUUCUGCAGUGCUGCUGGGAAUGUAAGCUGGCACAGCAACUACAGCCAACAGUACAGAGGUACCUUAGAAAUCUACACAUAGAACGAUCAUAUGACCCAUCAGUCCCACUCUUGGGCAUAUAGCC